GAGUUUUGAUCCUGGCUCAGAACGAACGCUGGCGGCGUGCCUAACACAUGCAAGUCGAACGUGAUCCAGAGCUUGCUCUGGUGAAAGUGGCGCACGGGUGAGUAACGCGUGGAUAACCUACCCUGGUAUCCGGGAUAACAUUCCGAAAGGGGUGCUAAUACCGGAUAAGCCCACGGGCUCUUUGGAGCUUGCGGGAAAAGGUGGCCUCUAUUUAUAAGCUACUGUAUCAGGAUGGGUCCGCGUACCAUUAGCUAGUUGGCGGUGUAACGGACCACCAAGGCRACGAUGGUUAGCUGGUCUGAGAGGAUGAUCAGCCACACUGGAACUGAGACACGGUCCAGACUCCUACGGGAGGCAGCAGUGGGGAAUUUUGCGCAAUGGGGGAAACCCUGACGCAGCAACGCCGCGUGAGUGAUGAAGGCCUUUGGGUCGUAAAGCUCUGUCAGAGGGGAAGAAAUGAUAUAGUGCUAAUACCACUUUAUCUUGACGGUACCCUCAAAGGAAGCACCGGCUAACUCCGUGCCAGCAGCCGCGGUAAUAC
Molecule: ribosomal RNA, 541 nt
Filed under: uncultured Geobacteraceae bacterium
Lineage: Bacteria; Pseudomonadati; Thermodesulfobacteriota; Desulfuromonadia; Geobacterales; Geobacteraceae
Description: bacterial SSU rRNA
Rfam family: Bacterial small subunit ribosomal RNA
Source: RNAcentral